Molecule: long non-coding RNA, 2669 nt
Organism: Aegilops tauschii subsp. strangulata
Lineage: Eukaryota; Viridiplantae; Streptophyta; Magnoliopsida; Poales; Poaceae
Source: RefSeq, a predicted model, not a curated record
AUGCCUUCGGGCAAUUUUUCCAAGUCCAAUGCAUACAAUCAAUGCUACCUAGCAUGCCAGGCCAACCUCUCCUCUCAUUAGAUGCCAUCAAAUUCUUUGUGUCAUCCUCGUUGGGUGCCCGAAGAUAUUCAAGACCAAAGACACGGAUGAUCACUUUGGAAAAUCUACGCAAUGACUCAAUUGUGGUAUCUUCACCAAUGCGAAGGUACUCAUCGGCAUAGUCAGCCGGAACGACAUAUGCAAUCACCUGCAUAGCUGCUGAGAUUUUUUGAUAUGCACUAAAUCCACGCUGUUUAACUCACUGAAAAACAUAUCAUUAGCAUACUUUAUACUAAGUUGGGAAUGUCAGCGCUUGAAAAAUGGUUAGCAACUUGAGUCCUUGUAGUCCACACUUACAUAAACUUGAAUGUAAAGACGUCACAACCGUGCCUGGUUUCACAUGAAUAAAGGAAAAAAAAACAUAAAAUAAAAUAACCAACAAUGUAAAUCAAGAACAGAAUAUAAAAUAAAAUUAGGUCAGCCAUACUAAAAAAACUUACUUAUUAGUCCGGUUGGGAACAGCUAGGUAGACAACGUCAAAUAUUUCAAAAUCGAUUCGUACAAGAGAAGAUCAUACACAAGACGAUCCACAGGUCAGAAAUCAUUCAAUUCCAACUUAUUUUCUCAUGCCUACUGAUUUUUUAUGAGAUCUAACAGCCCGUAAAAUCACAAGACUGAAAAGCAGAGAUCACAAAUUCUUUCUCUUCCACACAGUCUAUUGCACAGAGCACUCCAGUCAAGUUAAAAAUCAAAGAAACUGGUCAGUUUCGUUUCAAAAGCAGUAGGGUAAAAGAAACUAAAAUUUACAGUAGCAAAAAUACUGAAAUUACUAUUAUCAAGCUGCUGAAAUUACUAGGCAAGCAGAAAUUCUUGUGCACGACAAAGUUUCUGACACAAAGGUUGAUUCAGUAUAUAUUGACAGUGUGAUUAGAUGCAACACUACCCAACAAAGGCACUGUGAUUUACAGUCUAAUUAGCACUGUAGUUUUACUGAGAUUACACUGUAAUUGCACUAACUAUAAACACACUAAAUAUCCCAGUAUAAUUACAGUAAAAAUUGCACUGUGAUUACUGGAAAUUACACUGAACAACAUUGUAAAUUAUGUGAAAUUGCACUGUAAUUACAACAAAAUAGCACUGUGAUUUACAAUGUAAUUACCCUGAAAAUUACACUGUGAUUACUCUAAAAUUACACUGUAAAUAAAAUGGAAUUACAUUCAUGAAGCUGCUGUAAACUUAGAUGCAAUACUACACAAAACAUAGAAAAACAGAAGAAAUGGUUUUAAAUUGGAUGCAAAUACUACCCAAGAAAGACAAACCACAAAGAAAAGGGUUCCAAAAUGCUUGCAGAUCCAACAUAAAGAAAUCCCUAGGAAAAAAAUUGCAUUGAAAAUUUUAUCUCUACUAUUAAAGGAGAAUCGAAUAUCGUGAUGGUUCGACCUCUUAUGGAUACAUCAUCCCGCUCCCGAUUCUUCUUUUCCCACGGUUAAAAAAAAAUCUGGGAAACCAGCCCACCACUCCCCACGUUCCGCUAUAGAACCACGUCCGACCUCCCCCUCUCCCCCACCUCUCGGUCCCGAUCCUGUCUCUCCUCCCGAAAAAGAAUCGCCGCCGCCUACCUCGGUACCACACCCCCACGCGCUCCCUCGCCGGCCCAGAUCUCGACCCGCGGCUACUCCCGUCCCCCUGGUCGUCUCCGAGUAGAAGAACCCUAAGGUCGAUGGUAUCGUCGUCUUUGUCCUUAGAAGGCGUUGCCUCGAGGACGGCCCAGCGCGCGGUUUCGCGGGAGAGCCCGGCAACAACGACGCUGCUCACUGGUAAGGGUAGCGAGGCCGCGCAGCAGUCGAUCUAGGCGGCGAGGGAGAGGGAUGUCGAUGCGGAUGCCACGACGACGACAACCUCGUCAUGGGUGACCGCGACAUCGAUCCAUCUGAUGGUGGGAGCGCGGGCGGGCGCGGGUUUGACGAGGAGCUAGGAGGAGGAGGACGGUGUGAGGAGGAGCUUGUUCAGCAGCACUGCUCAGGCCCCCAGCAACCACAGGUUGAAGAUGUCUGUGAUGGUGUUCAUCUGAGAUGUCAUGCGGGGCGCAUCUUUUUGCUGCUGGUCACCCGAGAUGUCAGUGACACUUGAAGAUGUAUCAAAAUCUGUCGUACAAAAUAAAGGAGCACCCAGGACGAUGACUUCCAUAUUGGCAUGUAUGAUUCUGGUUCGGCCGUGGCCUCUGAUAUCCCAGGGUGUGUGUCCUGUUAUGUUGGGUUUGCUAUGAUUUGGGUGCGGCUAGCUACACAGCAUCCGCGGGCCAUGCAUGUGACAUGCAUGCUAGCUAGGUAUUUUUGACUCUGGUGGGGCGGUGCCGGAACCGCCUACGCUGGUUACGACCGCCGUGGCUAUGCUUGAAGUCAGAAUCACCACGAUGACGGUAGUGACCGCACUCAUAUCAAAACGGCAGCCACAGUAUGUGAUCAGGCCUUUACUAUCAUCCUCUGAAUUUGGGAUCACCUGCAGGAGAAAGAGCGCGAGAGCCUAAGAGGGUAGUACAACAUUACGAACAAGUUGUUUUUUAUCCAUGUAAUUGAUCUGAUACGAAGCUGAUGCCACAUAAAAGGAUAACUGAGUUCUUAUCUCCAGUA